RNAcentral lists this ribosomal RNA (253 nucleotides) under uncultured bacterium. Its description in RNAcentral is "partial 16S ribosomal RNA". It matches the Rfam family "Bacterial small subunit ribosomal RNA", at positions 524 to 776 of the family's 1533-position model. The record is from RNAcentral.
UACGAGUGCGUCGAGCGUUAUCCGGAAUCAUUGGGCGUAAAGCGCUUGUAGGCGGCUUGUUAAGUUCCGUGUGAAAUCCCCAGGCUUAACCUGGGAAGUGCGCGGAAAACUGGCGAGCUUGAGUGCCGGAGAGGGUCGCGGAAUUCCCGGUGUAGAGGUGAAAUUCGUAGAUAUCGAGAGGAACACCGGUGGCGAAGGCGGCCAACUGGACGAAUACUGACGCUGAGACUCGAAAGCGUGGGGAGCAAACAGG